ACGCCGCGUGGGGGAUGAAGGUCUUCGGAUUGUAAACCCCUGUCAUUUGUGAACAAACCUUUUGGUUUAAUAGAUCAAAAGCUGAUAGUAGCAAAAGAGGAAGGGACGGCCAACUCCGUGCCAGCAGCCGCGGUAAUACGGAGGUCCCAAGCGUUGUUCGGAUUUACUGGGCGUAAAGGGUGCGUAGGUGGCCAGGAAAGUUUGAUGUGAAAGCUCCGAGCUCAACUCGGAAAAUGCAUUGAAUACUACUUGGCUUGAGGAUCGGAGGGGAGACUGGAAUUCUCGGUGUAGCAGUGAAAUGCGUAGAUAUCGAGAGGAACACCAGUGGCGAAGGCGAGUCUCUGGACGAUUCCUGACACUGAGGCACGAAAGCUAGGGGAGCAAACAGGAUUAGAUACCCUGGUAGUCCUAGCCGUAAACGGUGCACACUUGCUGUAGGAGGAUUCGACCCCUUCUGUGGCGGAGCAAACGCGUUAAGUGUGCCGCCUGGGGAGUACGGUCGCAAGAUUAAAACUCAAAGAAAUUGACGGGGGCCUGCACAAGCGGUGGAGUAUGUGGCUUAAUUCGAUGCAACGCGAAGAACCUUACCUGGCCUUGACAUGCAUCUCUAAGCGUGUGAAAGCACGUGACCCUUCGGGGAAUUUGCACAGGUGCUGCAUGGCUGUCGUCAGCUCGUGUCGUGAGCUGUUGGGUUAAGUCCCGCAACGAGCGCAACCCUUGUGUCCUGUUGCCACUUCCGCUAGCGCGGAAAGCACUCUGGACAGACUGCCUCG
RNAcentral lists this ribosomal RNA (773 nucleotides) under uncultured Verrucomicrobiota bacterium. RNAcentral describes it as "bacterial SSU rRNA". It matches the Rfam family "Bacterial small subunit ribosomal RNA", at positions 394 to 1156 of the family's 1533-position model. Lineage: Bacteria; Pseudomonadati; Verrucomicrobiota. The record is from RNAcentral.